GUGCUUGCUUUGGCAGCGCAUAUACUAAAAUUGGAAUUAUACAGAGAAGAUUAGCAUGGCCCCUGUGUAAGUAUGAUAUGAAAAUUCAUGAAGAGUUAGAAUCUUAU
This is a small nuclear RNA of Jaculus jaculus (lesser Egyptian jerboa), 107 nucleotides long. Lineage: Eukaryota; Metazoa; Chordata; Mammalia; Rodentia; Dipodidae. The record is from Ensembl.